AGCAGCCGCGGUAAUUCCAGCUCCAAUAGCGUAUAUUAAAGUUGUUGCAGUUAAAAAGCUCGUAGUUGAAUUUCAGGCCUGGCUGGACGGUCCGCCCUUCGGGUGAGUACUGUCUGUGGUCGGGUCCUACCUUCUGGCGAAGCGUCAUGGCCUUAACCGGCCGUGGCGGGGAACCAGGACUUUUACUGUGAAAAAAUUAGAGUGUUCAAAGCAGGCAAUCGCUUGGAUACAUUAGCAUGGAAUAAUGGAAUAGGACGAUGGUUCUAUUUGUUGGUUUCUAGGACCGUUGUAAUGAUUAAUAGGGAUAGUUGGGGGCAUUAGUAUUCAAUUGUCAGAGGUGAAAUUCUUGGAUUUAUUGAAGACUAACUACUGCGAAAGCAUUUGCCAAGGAUGUUUUCAUUAAUCAAGAACGGAAGUUAGGGGAUCGAAGACGAUCAGAUACCGUCGUAGUCUUAACCAUAAACUAUGCCGACUAGGAAUCGGGCGAUGUUGACAAAAUGACGCGCUCGGCACCUCAUGG
RNAcentral lists this ribosomal RNA (520 nucleotides) under uncultured Paraglomus. RNAcentral describes it as "SSU rRNA". It matches the Rfam family "Eukaryotic small subunit ribosomal RNA", at positions 569 to 1093 of the family's 1831-position model. Lineage: Eukaryota; Fungi; Glomeromycota; Glomeromycetes; Paraglomerales; Paraglomeraceae. The record is from RNAcentral.